UGUAGCUCAGUGGUACAGUGCUUGUCUCGUAUGUAUGAGGCCCUGGGUUCAAUCCCUAGCA
RNAcentral lists this transfer RNA (61 nucleotides) under Heterocephalus glaber (naked mole-rat). It matches the Rfam family "tRNA", at positions 6 to 65 of the family's 71-position model. Rfam says of the family: Transfer RNA (tRNA) molecules are approximately 80 nucleotides in length. Their secondary structure includes four short double-helical elements and three loops (D, anti-codon, and T loops). The record is from Rfam by way of RNAcentral. Lineage: Eukaryota; Metazoa; Chordata; Mammalia; Rodentia; Bathyergidae.